Alexandromys fortis (reed vole) is the source of this 12186-nucleotide long non-coding RNA. RefSeq lists it as uncharacterized. NCBI's taxonomy places the organism in Eukaryota, Metazoa, Chordata, Mammalia, Rodentia, Cricetidae. The transcript has 5 exons. The record is from RefSeq and is a predicted model, not a curated record.
GGAAUGCUACCUGCUUUGUCUCUGGCGUCAGCUGGCAAGCAGUCACGUGGCCGUAUGCGUGAGGCCAGAGCUAGAGACCAGAGACUCCUCCGGGACAGCUUCUUCCUAGCUCACUCUGCCUAUCCUCUUCUUGGCCUUCAGCAUGACUGUCUGAGCAGGCAGGAAGCAGUAGGAAACAAGCAGGCUGCCCAGGAACAAUUAGGUCCACAUGCUUUGUCUGACCACCCUUUACAUGGCUCACCAUGGACAGAAAGACCCUUACCAUGUCCCACAUGGUAAGGAGUGAGGCCCAUUGGCAGUGAUCCGUCCACCAUCCUUGGUGGCCGGGCUGGCCCUGUGGUACCUGGGUGUCUGAGGAGAGGUGUCACAUGCUGCUCAUGAGCCCCUCCCUAUACUUCAGACCCAUUGCCUUUUUACGUGAGCACCUCUGAUGAUGUCAUACAAAAGGGCCCGGAGUGACAUGGCUCCUGAGAGGACUACCAAGUGAAUCUACCAGGGGCAGGCGGACACCUGUAGGAGAGGGUGGCCCAAUCUGAUAAGUUUUAGCAAAAUCGUCCCUGUCAGGCCCUUAGUCUAACCUCUGGUUGUUCCGGAGGGCUGCAGCAAAGGAUUGUGUGCCCAAGACAGUGACACGGAGUGACUUUGGUUACCCUGAGGGAUCUGAGGGAACGGAGGUGAUGUAUCUCAGCUCUGCCCUGGCACUCCUCCUCGUUCUUGGCUGCUUGGCUGUUCUGGGAUCUUCUUGCUCUCCCAGGCAUUGGGUCCUGAGCACAGCGCUCAGCCCCAGCCCUACUUUCUGCAUCCCGUCAGCUACAAGUAGGAGACAUAAUCCCCCUCGUGAACAUAGGUGAGAAAACCAAGGCGAGAGCAGAUGUGUGGACACUUAGCUAAAUUCAAACCCAUAGUCCAGACUCCUGGCUGAGGCAGCUCCCGCCUCCGUGAUUAGGAUGGGUCACGCUAAGAGUUCUGGUCAACGGGUAGCUGGAAUGGGAGCCCCAACUCUUCUAAAAGAGAGCAGCCGAAUGCCAGCCACCUCCUGCUUCUCUGCAGAACCCAGCAUAGGAACAAUGCGGCCUCUAUCUGGAGCAGUUCGGGCAGCCUGGACUCCAGGCCCGUCAGAACUGCUUGGCUAGCCAGGCAGUCACAACAUGGCGCCACGGCCACCCUGCCCAUCUACAUGGCUGACUGUCGCCUGGGCUGGGGCUGGACUGGUGUUCAGGCGUCCUCAGGCUAGCUGCUGAGUGGUCAGGCACUGUGGUAUCCUCCCUCCUCUCCUUGUCGUCCAACCCCCGCCUGUUUUUGGUGGUGGGUUUGGGGGCCCGGCCCACCCGCCUCUGCCACGUCUGCCAUCCUCCAGGCACCCACGAGCAUCUUUCGAAAAUUCCCGGUGGGCGGGGCUGAGCUGUAGCGGCCGCCUCUGCCCCCCCUCCCUGGGAGCCAGUGCCAGAUGAGAGAGCAGGAGACAAAAGUAGCAUUUUCCUCGUCCUCCUAGGCUGGCAGCAGGGCCUUCCCCCAGCGCCACUUGCUCCUGGCAGUCCUAACCCCGGGUGCCAGUGUAGCCAAGGCCCAGGCCAGGACCUACGGACUGAUGGAUGCCAGAGCCCAGGAGGCCCAAGGGUCUGUCCGGCCGAGACUGGCACCUGGAGACAGCCUUUUGGCUGGCGGGAGCCCUCUUACCCAGCCAGGGCAGGGGACAUCGUUCUCACUUGCUGGCUUUUGAGAAAGUGGCCCUGUCCUUCAGUUCCUUGGUAAGUGACCUUCUCCCCUUCUCCUGCUGGGGACGAGCAGAGGGCCCUGCCAUCUUGCGCUCUGUGCCUGUUACGUCUCCCUCCUCUCUAAUUGGCUUAACCCAAACCCCAAAUUCUAUUUCAGAGCCCCCCCCCCCCCUCCUGCCAGUCUUGAGUGAAGCAGACACUGCCAAAAAAACUGCAGGGAAGAGAGAGAAACCAAGCCAUUUAUUUUUAAGAUCCAAAGCUAUGGCUUUCAAAAUGAUAAUGAAAACACACGCUCGGUAUUUCGCAGUGGCUGCGUGUUCGAUGAAGAGCUGAAUGAGGGCUGGAGGAGGCAUCAGUCGGCAAGCCGCCCUUCCUUGCCUGUGUUGCUUUGUUGUUGGAAGGGGUCUUAUUAUUUCAUUACCAUUUUUUUUUAACUUUGGAAGUACCGGGAAUGGCAGAGGGGAAAAAACCCAGAACCAUCGUGAGGUCCUUCAGCAAAAGGCUCAGGCAGGGCCAGCCGCACACAGGAGGGAGUAUUUUCGUGUUCUGAAACAGAGGUUCUUUUAUUCUGUCCCGCAUCCCUAAUGCCACCAUUUCCACAGUUUAGGGAUUUAGUCCUUUCUGCCUUUCGUUUCGUUUUAUUUUUUAUUUUUUUUUUUUAUAUAUUUUUUUUAAAGAAGAAAGCUUUUCUUGGAUGACAGCUCAGUGUGGGGAAGAUUUGGGGUUUUGCACUCUGCUUUUUAAGCACUUGUUUUUAAGGCCUUUUUUUUUUUUUUGUAAUUUUGAGGAGGGAAUCUAUCUACAUCAUAGUAAUGUGCUCAGCUUGUAACCCCCUUGCCAGGCUGGGUGAGAAGUGCCCAUGGACACGAGUCACCAGGCAAUCCUUAAAAGAGAGCACCAAGUGGUUCCCAGGCCGGUCUAGACCCUGUCCCAGCCUAGUUCUUUACCAGCAGAGUCGUGCCAGGCCACACAGAGCCUAAACUGUGUCCGAUGGGUGCUAAGGAUCCCCCAAAGACCUUUGUGUAACCCGCCGUGCCAAUAUCACCCGUGAGCUGAGUUAGAGGCUGUCUGAGUUUAGUCCCAGGCCCCAUCCUUUAUAAAAAAAGGUGACAUUUGCAGAGCUCAGCUGCCUGCUCACCUCCACCCCUCUGGCACACUGACAAAAAGCACCCUCGACCACAGCCUGGCCGAGCCUAUGUUUAAGGGUAGCUGGGGUCUUGAUUUAUGGGAACUGGAAAAUCCUACACAGAAAGUUCCACUGCGCAGGAAGAGGAAAAUUCCCAAGUACAGACAUCUUUGUUUCCCUAGUCCAGAGGCACAUGGGCUCUGUGUGUCCAGGAGCUCGGCUGCAGCAGCCGCCCAGAGCAGACUCCACCAAAUAUGAAAACGGAGCCCAGUCUGGCUGCUUUUGUUCUUACGCUAGGCAGCAGUCGAUACUGAAGGGUUUGGGGCUGCGGAGACAGGCAUAUAUAGCCGAGAUAAUUAAAACAUUUUCACGAUUAUGACAGCCACAUUCUGCUGCUGCAAGCUGGAGGAUUCAUUCCACCCAAAUAUUUAGCAAGCAUCGGAUAAAACACUAGUGGCAAAAUAAAAGUAAUGGGGGAAUAAACUGUAAUACGUUUCAAAGGCAAAAGCGUGGCAAAGAGAGAAUUAGGCAAGGAAGAAAAGGGAGGUUAGGAGCUCGAGUCUGCAUUUUAACAGCUGCCUACCCCUGGCCUGUUGUUUUUAAUAGUUAGUGUAGGUGAAUAGAGCUCCAAUUUUAAGUUCUGGAUGGAUGUGCGGUAGAAUUUCCUGAAUGUUAAUUCAUCUUCUUUUUGGACAAGAUAGGGGAAAGUAACAGAAAAAUAAUUCAUGUAAAUAUCUUCACUGUUAAAUUAGUACCUUCCACUCUGAGUCAAUUUAUCCAUUGCUUUUAGUGUAUGUCACACUGUUUUUUUUUCCCCCCCUCUGGAAGAUUGUAAGUAUCCACUUGCCACCUAAGUUUUAAAUUCCGUUAGCAUCAGAUCCCCUCCCUGGUCGCCCAAAUGUAAAAUGUCAUAUUCUGUUUUUUUUUUUUAAAAAAAAAAAUGGGCAAAAUCUCAGAUCUCAGUGCUUUCCAUGGCACCCAUUUCUUUUUGACAGUAUUAAAAAAAAAUAGAAAGUACCACGCAAAGCACUUUCCACAUCAUUGCUUCUAUAUAAAUUCCACUAUAGACAGAAAUUAUACAUUCUCGAGGCACAGAUGGGCUGGUCUGUCAUUACCACUGCCUGGUACUUGUUGGAACACACGGCAUAUUUUAAUUGUGGAGUCAACAAUUUCGAAGAACUGAGGUCAAAACAAACAAGCUACAUUUGUGUCGAGAAGCGAGCGUGUUCCCCGAUCUUCUGGAAGGGCUGACAGAGUGCCACUGCUUUGUUCGAUUUUUUUUUUCUUUUGGUCUCCAUAUACACACGGACGCGUGCCUGUUUGUGUGUGUGUAGGCAUUUGCAUACCGUGCAUGCCCCUGGAGGUGAGCGCACACACUGCAGGAGUGGCUUCUCCCCCCCCCCCCCCCCCCCCCCCGACUGUGUGGCUUCCAGGAAUUGAACUCAGGUUGGCAGGCAAGAACCCUUACCUGUAGAGCCAGCUCACCUAUACUGCCUGCCAUCUUUUAAGACUCCAAAUGCCGUGUCAGAAGUCCUUCCGUGUUUUUAUUAAUUACCGAUUUUUAUCUCAUUUUGCUGCGCGAAUAUCAUAACACUACCCUUAAAUUCCGACUUGUGGCAUGCAAUUAUUAAUAUAACUUAUUAACUAUAGGGAGGUCCAGCCCUCGGCUAUUCUGGGUCAAUGUGCAUGUAAUUAUUUUGAGACCUGCGUGAAAAAAAAAAAACAAAUAAUGAAUAUUUCAAAUGGUCCAAAAAUACAUUUAAGUCGAAACUUGAAAAAAAUUUCAGUGGGUCAGUUGGAUAGAGUAGGUAUAAAUUAAAAAAAAAAAAAAGUCCCAGUGAGAUAAGGGAAUCCAGAAUUUAUUGGGCUGUAUCAACGCACUCGAGGCCAGAGCACUUUUACGGCCACAAUAAUUUGCAGAUGAUGAUAACUGCUUAUUUUGGGAAUUGUGUACAGGUGAUGAUGUAACCAGUGCUAAGCUGCACUUUCGCCCCCUUUUCCCAUGUGUUAAACACUGACCUCUGUACUUCUGGAGUCCAAACGCUGUGUUCCCUGCCUGUGGAGAGCAUUUGAGGCUCUUGCAUUGGGAGAGAGGAAGGGAAGGGCCUUGCUGCACACCGCCACCCUCCCCCCCAUCCCCGGGAGCUCCAGCCCCCGCACCCAUUUGUUAUUAGAAGUACUUUGUUGUGGCUUGUUUACUUGAAGGCUUCUACCUGUUGGUGGAGAUGUUAGCGAACAGUGGAAACGGAACACUGAUGAAAUCCUCCCCAGCUGGCUAGGAGUGGAAGGGUUUUUGAGGGAGCCUGGUCCUGGAAUGUAACGGAGACGGUGGUUGGAGAGGCCACGAGCCAGUCGGAGCCCUCGGCAUCUGUUUGGCACCCAGUGACCUGGCUAUGAGGGCAGCGACAGGAGGCUUCAGUCCUGCCAGCGGGCUCUGCAAACGACUGGAGAGGCUUCCGGAGAUCAGCAGUGUAGGCUGAAAAUGAGAUCCAGCUUUUGAAACCUCGAACAUGGCUGCUCCAGAGAGCCUCCCAGGAAAGGAAAAGUGUAUCAGAAGACCCUGGAGGACCUCAUACACAGGCAUCAGCCUCUUCUCGACAACUCUCCCAGGUGACCUCUGAAGCUCAAGGACCCCUGUCCAGCCCAGGCCCUGCCCUGGAUUCCUGUCGACUGGCUGGUCCCUGUCAGAGGCGUAAACCCUUGGCUGUGGGAGUUGCAUCUCUCCUAUGACCCACCCCACCCUGCAAGGUGGCUUCCCUGUCCCCUGGGCCUCAGACUGGCUACCUGUGAAGUGGGAUUGUACUCCACACAGAUUUUUUGCUCUGCACAGGUCCAAAGGAGGCAGCCUGAGGUGAGACCUGUACCCCCUAGAGCUGUUUUCUUUGCCCCGACUGUGUAACUGGAUUCUGAGUAGAGCAGAGGCUAUGAUGGGGAGGAGGCACAAAGCAAUUCUGAUCCAGCCCUCUGGAGUACCUGCUGCCCUCUGUCUAGAGAGGCUUGGAGACCAGCUGUGGUGAGGGGGCAGAGGGACUCCUGGCCAGGAGCCGGAAAGGGGAAUUGAAUAGAUGAUGGUCACUUGUUUAAGAAGCAGCUGGAACGAGAUGAAAAAGCUAGGGCUGUUCUAGUUGGAUCUGUAGAAAGUAGGAUAGUGGUAGCUGUAUGCUCCUGAAGAAAAUCUUCCUGGCAUCCGUCCUGUUGAUGGCCGCUUUGGCAACUGAUCCCUUGACCUCUUGGCCCCAGACAGGAAGGAACUAUCUAGCCCACUCGUUCCUGGAGCAUAGGAUGGCACUUGAGCCCCUUGGCUUGGGGCCUCCCAACCCGGGCAGAUAAGGACAUGUCCUGUAGAUUCUAGAGAGGAGCUCGGGCCCGGGAGGCGUCACCGUGGGCCACCUGGAGCCCCUUGAGGGGAAGUGUGGGAGUCUCUGGAAGCCCAGAGCCAGUUUGGAACUUGGGUGGGAGGAGAGUUCUGGAAGGGGAUGGCUUGACCUAUUUUCUCUGACCAGACCAUCUCAGGCCUCGGCCCAGGGCAAAGCCUUGAUCUGGUAGGUUGUUCUUUCUCCUCCCUGCCAGGCAUCCACUGGUCCCACCCUCUGGCUUCCACGGCCUUUGUCUUCCAAGGGUGCCACAAAAUGGCCGACACAGCCCUCCGCCAUUUUGUAGCUGAAACAAGCAGUAGCCUUGGAGACCCCUGCUUCCUGCCUGCCCCGAGUGGCCUGGACAGAGCCCAGGACCAGCGCUCCCCCAACCCCCACUUGGCUUUGGCCAUAGCUGCCCCAGGCUUGGCACAACCAGCUGCUUGGCAAAGGUGCCUGGGAGUCCUGGCCCCUUAGCCAGCUCCACUUCUGCCUUACUACCCACCAAGCAAACAGAGAAGGAGGCUGCACAUCAGAGUCGGGAAAAGCCAGCCACCAGCACUGUCCUUGGCAGGGGCUGGGCCGGCAUGGAUGGUUCUAGAAAUGAUGUCUGUACUGCGGUACCAGGUUCCUGAAUGUGGCCAUCAACAAGCGUAGAUUUGAGUUAGGUCUCCCUGAGAGAAAAGCCUCUGGCCUCCAAAUGCCCCUCAUACCCUUAACCUGACCAGGGACCUUGGGGAUCCCUGGCUGAGCGUGAUAUAGAAUGCCAGGGUUUCACAGCGGCCAGUCUGUCUCCUGGCCUGGGUAACCUAUGAUGUCAUCAAGUAGUCCAGGUGCUUGCUAGAGGAGGCUGCUUUGCUCCAAGAGCAAGGCUACCCAGUGGGCCACUGGGGCUCUGAGGUAGAAGAAACUUUUCCCUGUCACACGGUUCCUCUGCCUUCCUAGAGAUCAGAAGCAGCACCUCCCAGAGUGCUGCCUUAAUGACGCCAUCCAGGCCCACAGCACCCCCAGCGUCCCCGGGUCAUCGUCAUACAGUGCUGUCCAGCUUCCCAAAGUAGGACAAACGGGGCAAGUUCUGGGAGCCAGGAAUGGCCAAACAGCCCCGCCACCCCUGUGAGGGGGGUGUUCCUCAAAAGAAGCUAGGGGGUAGCUCGCUGGGAAGCAGGGAAGGGUGUGGGAUAAAAUGUCUUUGACUCUUGGGCAGCAUGGGGGUUGCUCCAUGGCCCUGCCUCACCCCGUGCCCUCUACCAGCAUAGCAAGAAGCCAUGUGUAGACAGUAGGGCCAAGCUGUCCCAUCUAGGGAGCUAGCUGGAUGCCAGCCCCAGGCUUCUUUCUUCCCACAGCUCCCAGGAAGAACAUUCUGUCACCAUGAAGUGAGGCUUGCUCAGGCCAUGUCCCCUUCCAGGGAAACCCUGCAGUCCAAAACCCACCUGCCCAGACCAGGAUGGAACCUCCCGGGGUCCUGGAGUAUAGGCUUCCUAGAAUGAGAAAAAUCUCCCCAGGAAGGGCCAGGUCCAGAGGGAGUCAAAGAGCAGGCAGAGUACGUGCCCCACAGUGUGGCAUCUGAAGUCAUUUCCCACGCACCUUCCUAUGUCCUGGACAGUGCUUGGGUCGGGGAAUAUCUGCGGAUGAGUGGCCAGAGCUGGUAACCUGUAGCUAAAUGUCCAGCCCCAGGCGGAGUGCAGGGAGCAGGAGGGCCCCGCAAGGGCCUUGCCCAGUGUACCACAGGCCUUCGGUGCUUUGCCCUAGGCAUACGCCAUCAUGACUCCCACUACUGUCUAUACCAGACCGCUAUCUCACUAGCCCUCCAGAGAAGGCACAGAGCCAACUGCCGACUGACUUUGUCUCGGACCCUAUUUCUAGAUGAAGAGGGCUAGGUUCAGAUCUGGGCCUUCCCAGCCAGGCUCUAGACCCUGAGUCUCCCCUUUUCUCUCGUGAAUUUUGCUAUGGAUCACAGUGUUCAUUACCUCUAUUCUAGGGGUGGGCAUGCUACCAGGGUACCACAGCUCUCGAGUCUGCUCAAAGCCCAGUGCAGGUCAAAUCCACCUCGGGAUCAGUGUGAGGUGUGUAGGGCUAGAGAGAGCCAGGUCCGAGGCACUUAGAUGCUAGCUCCAGGUUUGACUUUGCAUCCUUGUGGUACACUUUUGGAAAAGGAUGUUCAAGCCUGUGGGUACUUCCCCACGGACCUGUCAGAGCAGUCCAGUCUGAAGCCAGGGCACUGAGCAAACCUGGGUCAUCUUUGUUCAAAUAUGAUCUUGUAAUGUCUGGAGUGAUCACAUUAGUCGUUUUGCUAAAGUUUACACAAAGGCCUCACUUGUCUUAGUGACUGAGAUUUUGGUCACCCCUAACAUGCUUGUCUUAGCCAGACCAAAGAGACUCCUCAGUAGGCAUGGCCCGCCUCUGGGCACACUGACCUAGGCCUAGUCAGUAAGCAUGCAUCUUGCUAACUUUAUGGGCCAUGUUCACAAGGAGACCCGCCUUCUGCCCAGCCGGAUGCCACCCCUCCCAUCGUUCCCAGACUCGCUGUUGGCACGGCCUACUGAGCAGAGACACUGGCGGCUUUAUGGGAGAAACCUAAUCAGGGAGACCAGGAGGGGGAGGCUGCCAUGGAGGGGGGGUCUGACUCUUGGUGGCCCCAAGCCAAGCCUGAGGUGACUUCAGGGUGACACCGUCUGUCUGCCUCUCUCCCUCCAGACAUCCGCCCAGCACUGAAAGGGCCACCUGCCUGCCUAGGCCUUUGGCGCACCUGUCCUGGCCAGCCUGGCUCCUCCCCCAGGCACCCUGCCCGUGGGCAGACACUACAGGACUAGGACAAGGCUGGGAGGUGGCAGCUGGCAGAUGGCAGGGUGCCUGCUGACUGCUCACUCCCUGGCGACCUGUUCAGGAUCGCCAUUCAUGUGCACUGCCCGCCCCGCCACUGGCCCUCCUCCAGCCUCGCCCCACUGGGUCCCUUUGGUUUGUUUCAGGACCCCUUCCCUGUUACCCGUUAAGAAAGGAGGCAUUUAUGUGAGUCCCAUCCCCCAGGGCGGAGGCCAGUGGUCAAGCUAAUCCUGGCACUUCUCGAGUAUGAACUGGGUCUUUUCCUCAUUCUGUCACAUUCAGCUUCAGAGACCAAGUAAAGGUGACCACAGACCAAGUAAGGGUGACCCUUCCGGAGUCUCGUGGAACCAGUGUACCCCUGUGUAGGGCAGAGUCGUCUUAAGAACUGAGUGGCCAUGGUAGCCGGGCCUGCCACCAGAGCAUGGAGAGAUGCCUGAGGGAAAUGGGUCUGAGACAGGCACCUGUGGGCCAGCCUCGCCAGACUAGCACCCUGGGCAGAGUGAGGCCUCCUGGGGAGCGGAAACCUUGUGGGAAGGAGCAGGAACCACAGGCCAGUGGUUCCCGGCAGAGGGACAGACCAGGGCAAAAGCCAGGAGGUGGGGAGGGCCUGGGAGAUGGCCAAGGAGGGCAGAGGAGGCUUGCCCAGGGCAUUCUGCUGUUUUGUGGGCUGGGGGCGGGGCUGACGGGCACGGUGGAAAGGAUCAGAGAAAGGGUGUCCGAUGAUGGAUGGCUUGGCCAUCUUGGUGGUAACAAGAAAGGCUGGUAGUCAGGGAGGGAGGGCCUUUCCCACCCUUGUAUCCUCACCACCCUCGAUAGCCAAUGGUCUCAUCUUCCUCUCCUUGAGAUGUGCAGGAAUAGUCAGGCUUGUAACAAACUGCUCUGGCUUAUGGGCAGAUCCAAAGCAGGCCUUGUCUCUGUUCCGCACCCAGAGCCCUUCAGCUGGCUAGGCUGCUCCCUCACUGCCACCAUGUCCCUGCUUGGCCUUCCAUGUCUCUGCUGGCCCUGCCGUGAUGCCUUGGUCAGAAUGGCCCAAGGGAAGUAGGGUGGUGACUGGAUUCAUGGAGGAAGUCUGUGAUCCAGUGAGUCCCUUCUCUGGCUCUCAGCUCUCAGGAGGGAGAGUUCAGGCCCCACUUGUCCUAUCUUGGGAAGCUGCAUCUUGCUGACAACCUCUGAGAGAGGACUAACUCUUUCCGGGGUCCAGUUAACUACCACAGUGUAUGUGAGAGAGAGUAUAAGCCUGUCCCCACGCAGCGCUGCUUCUCUCAGGCCCCACAGUCAGUGGCCACAUGGGUCACUGACCACCCACAUAGACAUGCUUGACCACCGUGGACGAAGUUUGAGUCAUAGUCUCUGGCCAGCUGGUUUGAGAGGCCAUUCCAUCCAAGCCUUUGCCUGCUGCAGAGUGUCACCAGGCAGCAGACAGACUGGAUGAAAAUGUCACUGUGCUGAGGGCUAGCAGGGUACAGCAAGGGGAGGCAUCCGGGGGCUGGGCUGUCUCCCUUCGGAAGCUGAUGACUGUUGCUUUUGUUUCUAAACCCAAACAGGUCAGGAAGUAGUGUCAAGCAGGAGCUUCUGCAUGCAGCCGAUUUCCCUGUGGUGAGUAGGGCCUCACUGUCCUUCCUCGGGAGAGUAGGGAGCCAUGGGAGACCUCAGAGUGAGAAGGACUAGGGUCAGAAUCACAACCCUGCCACUGCUCCAGGACCUCAGCGUAGACGCCCUUACCUGGAGGCCUGUGCCCCCCACCAGCAGACUGCCCCCGGGGGAUUCAUCUCAUCUACCUAUGAUGCACUGUGAUAUGAUGAGCUUUGACCCCCCACAUCGGGCUACCUGGGCUGGAUGUGGUUUAAGGGAGCUGCAGUUCCAUCCAUUACUGGCUUUGAGACACAGCCUUGCUACCCUGAGGCAACACUGUCUGUAGGCUCACACCCUUCAGGUCACCCAGCCUGAGAGCUCUCUGGGGACCUCAAAGGCAGCUCUCUGUCCCCUGUCACCAUCACUCAGCUCUCCAGUGUGAUCCCAGCACUGAUGGAGAACCCCCUGCCAGGAGAGCCAUGCCUCCCAGGCUGGGCUAAGGCGCAGGGUGGGGUGGCCACGGUCAAGGAGGGACCCAGAUGCUUGUCACCCGCUAUUUCUCUCCUACAGAUGCCAUGAGUUCUGCAUGUUGCAAUGAAGCCCAGACUCGGGGAGGGUGGUCAGGAGCAGAGGCAGGACAGGCACUUUUGGGGGCUAUCACAGUGGCACGUAUCAGCGUAUCAGCCUCCUGCUGAUGGCUAACUACACUGGCCAAGGAGCUGCUGAGAAUCCCCGAGGGUCCCCAGUGAGAGGCAGCCCAGACCUCCCAGGCAACCCUGCUUACGAUAUUGUAUCCUGCUGGCCAGGGGCAGAACACGAAAUGUUGAGAGGCCCAUGCCGAGGUGUGCCUUCUCUCCUUCUUCAAGGUGUUUCUGAAAGGCUCAGAUGGCGUUGGCAAAAGUGACUUCUGGUCAUUCUACCAUGUCCAGGUGCAUCCUGGGAACUGACAAGGUUAAUCAUGGCCAGUCAGUGACACCUCCGCCUUCCCACCUGGUCCACUCAUCGUAGAUGGGAACACGGGGUGGGGGUGGGACUGAGCCACUCUCUUCCCAUGCCUUCCUGCCUCGCUAAAUCUGCUUGGACCAUCCUUGGGGAUAUGUGACCUGUCUCUUAGUAAAAGGGUACAGGCUUGAGGCAGGGGAUAGCACCCCUGAGGUUCACAUAGAUGUCCUUCUCGGGCUGGACAGCGCUCUGGGGCCGUGUUCCCAAUCCACUCUGCCUCGUAGACUGGGUUCACAGUGUGGACUUAAGCCUAAUGGCCCCAGGGUCCUUGGACUUGCUCCUGUCACCCUUGGCAGGGAGAGGGAGGUGUGGCAUCAGGUGCUAGGGUUCAUGCAGAGAACCAAAGCUGGUUGGCUUCCUGGUACUGGGCACAGAGCUUCCCUCUGCAUUGCUGUCUGAGGCCUGAGAGUAGAGCCACCUCGGGGCUAGAGCCUGUGUCUUCACAGUGACCCCACCUCCCAGCUGGAGGAGGAGAUGUCUCCACCCAGCCUUGUGCCUGCCCAGGAAAACUAUGGAAGGAGGCCUGCAGUUGAGUCUCCAAGACUCUGUUGGUACCCGGGAGCAGAGAGCUACGGACGCAUCUUACAAGGUGGGAAGG